RNAcentral lists this ribosomal RNA (1153 nucleotides) under [Candida] boidinii. Its description in RNAcentral is "eukaryotic LSU rRNA". The stretch from base 255 to 1153 matches the Rfam family "Eukaryotic large subunit ribosomal RNA", at positions 1 to 928 of the family's 3401-position model. The record is from RNAcentral. Lineage: Eukaryota; Fungi; Ascomycota; Pichiomycetes; Pichiales; Pichiaceae.
UCGAAUCUUUGAACGCAUAUUGCGCCCUCUGGUAUUCCGGAGGGCAUGCCUGUUUGAGCGUCAUUUCCUUCUCAUAUCCCUAGGAUGUGGUGAUGAACGACACUUUCGCAAGAAAGUCCGUUUGAAAUGAAUUGGCACGAGUCUUUCGACAGAUUGAUGCUAUGUUUUCAAUGUAUUAGGUUUACACCAUCGUUGAUUGUAGUAUUGGACUGUUGGAGUUAUGGGCUUUGCCUUACAAACUUUACCUUAAAGUUUGACCUCAAAUCAGGUAGGAUUACCCGCUGAACUUAAGCAUAUCAAUAAGCGGAGGAAAAGAAACCAACAGGGAUUGCCUUAGUAGCGGCGAGUGAAGCGGCAAGAGCUCAAAUUUGAAAUCUGGUACUUUCAGUAUCCGAGUUGUAAUUUGAAGAAAGUUAUCUUGGAGUUGGCCCUUGUCUAUGUUCCUUGGAACAGGACGUCACAGAGGGUGAGAAUCCCGUGCGAUGGGGUGCCCAUUCUAUGUAAGAUACUUUCGACGAGUCGAGUUGUUUGGGAAUGCAGCUCUAAGUGGGUGGUAAAUUCCAUCUAAAGCUAAAUAUUGGCGAGAGACCGAUAGCGAACAAGUACAGUGAUGGAAAGAUGAAAAGAACUUUGAAAAGAGAGUGAAAAAGUACGUGAAAUUGUUGAAAGGGAAGGGUAUUUGAUCAGACUGAUAUUCAGUUAACACUGUUCCUUGUGGAUGGUGCUCUAGCUUUUUAUUGGGCCAGCAUCAGUUUAGGUGGCAGGAUAAGAACUGUUGAACGUGGCUCUUCGGAGUGUUAUAGCUUCAGUUGAUACUGCCUAUCUAGACUGAGGUCUGCGGCUUUGCCUAGGAUGCUGGCGUAAUGGUCUAAUACCGCCCGUCUUGAAACAUGGACCAAGGAGUCUAACGUCUAUGCGAGUGUUUGGGUGUAAAACCCGUACGCGUAAUGAAAGUGAACGUAGGUGAGGGCCUUAGGGUGCAUCAUCGACCGAUCCUGAUGUUUUCGGAUGGAUUUGAGUAAGAGCAUAGCUGUUGGGACCCGAAAGAUGGUGAACUAUGCCUGAAUAGGGUGAAGCCAGAGGAAACUCUGGUGGAGGCUCGUAGCGGUUCUGACGUGCAAAUCGAUCGUCAAAUUUGGGUAUAGGGGCGAAA